AGGGCUAUAGCUCAGUUGGUAGAGCACCUCGUUUAGUUUUACCGAGAAUGUCUACGGUUCGAGUCCGUAUAGCCCUA
Molecule: transfer RNA, 77 nt
Filed under: Eustoma russellianum (showy prairie gentian)
Lineage: Eukaryota; Viridiplantae; Streptophyta; Magnoliopsida; Gentianales; Gentianaceae
Description: Eustoma exaltatum subsp. russellianum tRNA-Lys
Rfam family: tRNA
About the family: Transfer RNA (tRNA) molecules are approximately 80 nucleotides in length. Their secondary structure includes four short double-helical elements and three loops (D, anti-codon, and T loops).
Source: RNAcentral